This is a long non-coding RNA of Aegilops tauschii subsp. strangulata, 691 nucleotides long. RefSeq lists it as uncharacterized. Lineage: Eukaryota; Viridiplantae; Streptophyta; Magnoliopsida; Poales; Poaceae. The record is from RefSeq and is a predicted model, not a curated record.
GGCGAGCGCUCGCCGUGUCUCGCUGCGGUCGAGACAUAUCCCGUCCCCUUCUGGCCGCCUUUUCUUGCAGAGCGGCGGCAGGGUGCGCCUCCGCCUCUCCGGCGGCGCAACGGGUAGCUCAGCCGUUUGGAGGUCACCUCUUCCUAAUUGGACAGAUAAACCCAAGAAGACGAAGAAUAAUGACGGAGGGCGUAAAAAAAGUUGUACUGUUGGCGGAAGAAAUCUUCAGGGCGGUGCUGGGAUGGAGAGCCGUUCACAGGACUGCGGCGACGUGAUCUUCUGAAGUUUCUUCACACUGGUGAAAGCCUUUGGGAGAUUUAUUCUGUCAUCGAUCUAUACAUGUAGCUCCUGUCUUAUUUCUUCAGUCUGAACUGUUGGGGGUUAUGCUACUAGUUAUCGUUUGUUCUGAACUUGAUGUUCUGGUUGUUUUUGCUUGAGUCGUCCUGGAGAACCCGGCUUGUGAGAUUUCUCAGGGCUGUGCUGGGUGGUUGCGUUUUGCGUUUGUGAAACCUAGUCAGUUUCUUAGAUUGGGUAAAAAUCUGCACUUCAAAGGAGGGAGGCUGUGGGAUUGGCUCUUUUUCAUCUUCAAGGAGUGUGCAUCGUAGGAUUUGCUGCUGUGAUGUAAGUUGGCAAUAGCCUGGUGUCAGUUGUAAGACUUGGUGAUUUCUAAUAAUUGAAAUCAUAGAGGAAA